Molecule: non-coding RNA, 787 nt
Organism: Maylandia zebra (zebra mbuna)
Lineage: Eukaryota; Metazoa; Chordata; Actinopteri; Cichliformes; Cichlidae
Source: RefSeq, a predicted model, not a curated record
AGUAUAUCAUUGUUAACCUUCUGAUAAAAAAAUCAACAGCAAAAGAAGAUGUUAAAAAUAAAGUUUAUGGUUGUGAAUAAAAUUGAUUUCAAUAAUCUUUUUUAAUUAUUAUUUUAAAACAACUUUAUGUUGUUGUGUUUCACGCCAUAUUAUCAGACCACCUUAAGUGGGUCGGCCUUAAAUUUUGAAUUUGUGUGAUCGCUGUUGAUUGGUAGCUAAACUGCUGGUAAACUGUGUACAGACGUUUUACGUUCGAAUUGCAGAGAAAAAAAAUCUGGUAGCAACAUUGUGCAGUAUGAGCGAACCAUUUCACCAAAAAAAGGGGAAGCAAGGUAAGACGUGGCUGCAGCGGUCUGCAGACGUGACUUCUGAUCAAAUUCGAACCUCCUAAAGAAACAAAGAGCGACGUUACAUUGCGGGAUGACGUCACCUGAAAAUGACCAAUAGCGCGGCGCGCUGCUGAGCUGUGUGCCAACCGCUCUUUUUUUCAUGCAGGAGACUCAAGUUGGCUUCGCUAACGGACACAGUUUUGAACUCGUAUAUUAGCGCCAUUUAUUGCUGCUUGGACCACAGCAUCUUCGGAAUUUGUAGACAUCCUGGCAGCUUACAAUUAGUUCGAGACAUCUUGGAAAUGGGGGGCAGCAUAAGGAGUUCCAUUACUAAGGUGCUGCCGGACCUGUCUGCCUCAAUCCUUGAAAUUGUACUGGAGGCACUACAAUCAUUAGGAGUGGAGACAUCUGAGAAACAAACCACACCAAAUAUGGAAAUUUCAAGCCAGGCCAGCAUA